RNAcentral lists this ribosomal RNA (271 nucleotides) under uncultured bacterium. RNAcentral's name for it is "partial small subunit ribosomal RNA". It matches the Rfam family "Bacterial small subunit ribosomal RNA", at positions 26 to 285 of the family's 1533-position model. The record is from RNAcentral.
AGAAUCAACGCUGGCGGCGUGCCUAACACAUGCAAGUCGAACGCGAAAGGGGAGCAAUCCCUGAUUAGAGUGGCAAACGGGUGAGUAACACGUGGGUGACCUGCCUUCGAGUGGGGGAUAACCUUCCGAAAGGAGGGCUAAUACCGCAUGACAUACCGUGUUUGGAUACACGGAUAUCAAAGCCGGGAUCGCAAGACCUGGCGCUUGGAGAGGGGCCCGCGUCCGAUUAGCUAGUUGGUGGGGUAACGGCUCACCAAGGCUCCGAUCGGUA